This 70-nucleotide transfer RNA is filed under the name Culex quinquefasciatus (southern house mosquito). It matches the Rfam family "tRNA". From Rfam's summary of the family: Transfer RNA (tRNA) molecules are approximately 80 nucleotides in length. The record is from Rfam by way of RNAcentral. Lineage: Eukaryota; Metazoa; Arthropoda; Insecta; Diptera; Culicidae.
GCAGGCGUGGCUGAAUGGUUACGCUGUUCGCUUUCUAAGCGGAUGACAAUGGGUUCGAUUCCCAUCUGCC